Molecule: ribosomal RNA, 3204 nt
Filed under: Haliea sp. E1-2-M8
Lineage: Bacteria; Pseudomonadati; Pseudomonadota; Gammaproteobacteria; Cellvibrionales; Halieaceae
Description: 23S ribosomal RNA
Rfam family: Bacterial large subunit ribosomal RNA
Source: RNAcentral
GGUCAAGCGACUAAGCGCAUACGGUGGAUGCCUUGGCAGUCAGAGGCGAUGAAGGACGUAGGAGCCUGCGAUAAGCAUCGGGGAGGUGGCAACCAACCUUUGAUCCGGUGAUGUCCGAAUGGGGAAACCCACCUGGUGUAAGCCAGGUAUCCUUAACUGAAUACAUAGGUUAAGGAGGCGAACUCAGGGAACUGAAACAUCUAAGUACCUGAAGGAAAAGAAAUCAAUUGAGAUUCCCCCAGUAGCGGCGAGCGACCGGGGAAAAGCCUGCAAGUGAUAGCAGUGCGGUUAGUGGAACGGUCUGGAAAGUCCGGCGACAGAGGGUGAUAGCCCCGUACACGAAAACCGCGUUGUGAUACUGAGCUUGCGACAAGUAGGUCGGGACACGUGUUAUCUUGACUGAAUAUGGGGGGACCAUCCUCCAAGGCUAAAUACUCCUGACUGACCGAUAGUGAACCAGUACCGUGAGGGAAAGGCGAAAAGAACCCCGGAGAGGGGAGUGAAAUAGAUCCUGAAACCGUAUGCGUACAAGCAGUGGGAGCCCCAUCUUCAAGCCACUUUGGUGGUGAUGAAGAAUUCACCAAAGCUUUGAGUAAGGUAAGCGUCGCGCAGCGACGAUCAACCGCUUAAAACAACGUAGCUUUAGCGAAGUUGUUUUGGUUGAUUGACGGUGUGUGGCGAUCAACCGCUCAAAGGAAGCAGAGGUGGUUUGAAGAUGGGGUGACUGCGUACCUUUUGUAUAAUGGGUCAGCGACUUAUUGUCUGUAGCGAGCUUAACCGAAUAGGGGAGGCGUAGGGAAACCGAGUCUUAACAGGGCGUAUAGUUGCAGGCAAUAGACCCGAAACCGGGCGAUCUAUCCAUGGCCAGGCUGAAGGUUGGGUAACACUAACUGGAGGGCCGAACUCACUAAUGUUGAAAAAUUAGGAGAUGAGCUGUGGAUCGGAGUGAAAGGCUAAUCAAGCCCGGAGAUAGCUGGUUCUCCUCGAAAUCUAUUUAGGUAGAGCGUCGUGUCUUACCCUGGGGGGUAGAGCACUGUUUGGGCUAGGGGGUCAUCCCGACUUACCAACCCCAUGCAAACUCCGAAUACCCAGGAGUACAAUCACGGCAGGCAGACAGCGGGUGCUAACGUCCGUUGUCGAGAGGGCAACAACCCAGACCGCCAGCUAAGGUCCCCAAUACCAGUUAAGUGGGAAACGAUGUGGGAAGGCUUAGACAGCUAGGAGGUUGGCUUAGAAGCAGCCAUCCUUUAAAGAAAGCGUAAUAGCUCACUAGUCGAGUCGGCCUGCGCGGAAGAUUUAACGGGGCUAAACUGGUAACCGAAGCUGCGGAUGCACAUGUACCUCUAAACGCUAUUGUUGGAGCUUGUCGACGGCUGCCGAAGGCAGACGGCGACCAAGCCCUCCCGAACGUUGAGUUGGCCUGCGGGUCUGAUUUGGCACAAGGGCAGUAGUGAUAGUAGCGUUUAGUGGUACAUGUGCAUGGUAGAGGAGCGUUCUGUAAGCCGUUGAAGGUGAAUCGUGAGGUUUGCUGGAGGUAUCAGAAGUGCGAAUGCUGACAUGAGUAACGACAAGGGGGGUGAAAAACCUCCCCGCCGGAAGAUCAAGGUUUCCUGCGCAACGCUAAUCGGCGCAGGGUGAGUCGGCCCCUAAGGCGAGGGCGAAAGCCGUAGUCGAUGGGAAACGGGUUAAUAUUCCCGUACUUUUUCAUAAUGCGAUGGGGGGACGGAGAAGGCUAGGCCAGCGCGGCGAUGGUAGUCCGCGUUUAAGGUUGUAGGCUGGUUGCUUAGGUAAAUCCGGGCGAUCAAGGCCGAGAGCUGAUGACGAGUUCUGGUGCGAGCCAGGAUGAAGUGGUUGAUGCCAUGCUUCCAGGAAAAGCCUCUAAGCUUCAGUUAUGAAGGAACCGUACUGUAAACCGACACAGGUGAUCAGGUAGAGAAUACCAAGGCGCUUGAGAGAACUCGGGUGAAGGAACUAGGCAAAAUGGUACCGUAACUUCGGGAGAAGGUACGCCGGUUUGGGUGAAGGGACUUGCUCCCCGAGCCUGGGCUGGCCGAAGUGACCAGGUGGCUGCGACUGUUUAUUAAAAACAUAGCACUCUGCAAACACGAAAGUGGACGUAUAGGGUGUGACGCCUGCCCGGUGCCGGAAGGUUAAUUGAUGGGGUUAUCUUCGGAGAAGCUCUUGAUCGAAGCCCCGGUAAACGGCGGCCGUAACUAUAACGGUCCUAAGGUAGCGAAAUUCCUUGUCGGGUAAGUUCCGACCUGCACGAAUGGCGUAACGAUGGCCACACUGUCUCCACCCGAGACUCAGUGAAAUUGAAAUCGCUGUUAAGAUGCAGUGUACCCGCGGCUAGACGGAAAGACCCCGUGAACCUUUACUAUAGCUUCACACUGGACUUUGACCUUACUUGUGUAGGAUAGCUGGGAGGCUUUGAAGCGGUGGCGCCAGCCAUCGUGGAGCCAACCUUGAAAUACCAGCCUGGUAAUGUUGAGGUUCUAACUUAGGUCCCUUAUCGGGAUCGAGGACAGUGUGUGGUGGGUAGUUUGACUGGGGCGGUCUCCUCCCAAAGAGUAACGGAGGAGCACGAAGGUGCGCUAAUCACGGUCGGAAAUCGUGAGGUUAGUGUAAAGGCACAAGCGCGCUUGACUGCGAGUCUGACAAGACGAGCAGGUACGAAAGUAGGUCUUAGUGAUCCGGUGGUUCUGAAUGGAAGGGCCAUCGCUCAACGGAUAAAAGGUACUCCGGGGAUAACAGGCUGAUACCGCCCAAGAGUUCACAUCGACGGCGGUGUUUGGCACCUCGAUGUCGGCUCAUCACAUCCUGGGGCUGAAGCCGGUCCCAAGGGUAUGGCUGUUCGCCAUUUAAAGUGGUACGCGAGCUGGGUUUAGAACGUCGUGAGACAGUUCGGUCCCUAUCUGCCGUGGGCGUUGGAGAUUUGAGGGAAGCUGCUCCUAGUACGAGAGGACCGGAGUGGACGAACCUCUGGUGUUCGGGUUGUCACGCCAGUGGCAUUGCCCGGUAGCUAUGUUCGGACAGGAUAACCGCUGAAAGCAUCUAAGCGGGAAGCCCCUCCCAAGAUGAGAUCUCCCUGGGGACUUGAUCCCCCUGAAGGGCCGUUGAAGACUACAACGUUGAUAGGCUGGGUGUGGAAGCACGGUAACGUGUUGAGCUAACCAGUACUAAUUGCCCGUGAGGCUUGACCAU